Molecule: ribosomal RNA, 497 nt
Filed under: uncultured bacterium
Lineage: Bacteria
Description: partial 16S ribosomal RNA
Rfam family: Bacterial small subunit ribosomal RNA
Source: RNAcentral
GAUGAACGCUGGCGGCGUGCCUAAUACAUGCAAGUCGAGCGAACGGACGAGAAGCUUGCUUCUCUGAUGUUAGCGGCGGACGGGUGAGUAACACGCGGAUAACCUACCUAUAAGACUGGGAUAACUUCGGGAAACCGGAGCUAAUACCGGAUAAUAUUUUGAACCGCAUGGUUCAAAAGUGAAAGACGGUCUUGCUGUCACUUAUAGAUGGAUCCGCGCUGCAUUAGCUAGUUGGUAAGGUAACGGCUUACCAAGGCAACGAUGCAUAGCCGACCUGAGAGGGUGAUCGGCCACACUGGAACUGAGACACGGUCCAGACUCCUACGGGAGGCAGCAGUAGGGAAUCUUCCGCAAUGGGCGAAAGCCUGACGGAGCAACGCCGCGUGAGUGAUGAAGGUCUUCGGAUCGUAAAACUCUGUUAUUAGGGAAGAACAUAUGUGUAAGUAACUGUGCACAUCUUGACGGUACCUGAUCAGAAAGCCACGGCUAACUACGUG